Molecule: transfer RNA, 73 nt
Filed under: Stegodyphus mimosarum
Lineage: Eukaryota; Metazoa; Arthropoda; Arachnida; Araneae; Eresidae
Description: tRNA-Thr for anticodon CGU
Rfam family: tRNA
About the family: Transfer RNA (tRNA) molecules are approximately 80 nucleotides in length.
Source: Rfam by way of RNAcentral
GCCUUCGUGGUGUAGUGGUCAGCACACUCGGCGCGUAACCGAGAGGUCCAUGGUUCGAUUCCCGGCGAAGGCG